CAACCUUCAAGCUCUGCUUGGUAUUAGGUGCCACCUUACAUAGUACAUCUUAAAAUCAGUGGCGGUGCCAUGUAGCUUCCAAGUGUAGUAAUAUUCCUUGCUUAGAAAGUUUGUAAUUGUGCUUGCCAACAACCCUCCAAUCUAUCAAA
RNAcentral lists this unclassified non-coding RNA (149 nucleotides) under uncultured Helotiales. RNAcentral's name for it is "sequence contains ITS2". The record is from RNAcentral. Lineage: Eukaryota; Fungi; Ascomycota; Leotiomycetes; Helotiales.